CGUCCUAAUAUUGGCUUCAAGAAAUAUGACGCUCUGAUCACAUAACAGUUGCUCCAGGGUCAAUUGACAUAUGUAAGGACACAGAUGAUCUGAGGAGGGAAUGCUCUCUGAAAGUAGCUAUUUGUCUACGAAUGGAUACUCAUCUAGCGUGCGACUUAGGAAAUGAAUGUCAGUGAAGGUUCAUCCCAGGGAACGUAAAUGAUGAUGCCGAUGUUCAUAUACUCAUCGAAACAUGUUUCAGCCUCUGCCUUUACGGCCAGACUUCUUGCGCAAAUGGUGAGAAGGACAAUCAGAACGCCCACCAUGAAGGUGACUAGUGGCCACAAGAAGCAGUGCAGGAGAACAUUCUCAUCGUGGGUUCGUUUUAGCAGGACAUCUUCUGGCCUGAAAAGAUAACAAGGUACGCUUUAAAGGAUCUCUCAUACACGGAGGCUGCCCUGCUUCUUAUAUGUAACAGUAACAGUACUGGGAACAGAUGAGAUCACUACUAAGUGAUUACUUAUUGACUGUGAAAACUGCUACACGUGAAGUCUAUCACUACAGAGACCACUAUCACUACAUUAGCUUUAUCUAUGGAGCCAUGAUGUCCUUGAAAACGUUUUGUUUAAUCACUUUUUCUUGUG
Hyla sarda is the source of this 623-nucleotide long non-coding RNA. RefSeq lists it as uncharacterized. The transcript has 3 exons. NCBI's taxonomy places the organism in Eukaryota, Metazoa, Chordata, Amphibia, Anura, Hylidae. The record is from RefSeq and is a predicted model, not a curated record.